RNAcentral lists this ribosomal RNA (482 nucleotides) under uncultured bacterium. RNAcentral's name for it is "partial 16S ribosomal RNA". It matches the Rfam family "Bacterial small subunit ribosomal RNA", at positions 30 to 507 of the family's 1533-position model. The record is from RNAcentral.
AUUGAACGCUGGCGGCAUGCCUUGCACAUGCCAGUCGAACGGUAACGGGCCUUCGGGUGCCGACGAGUGGCGAACGGGUGAGUAAUACAUCGGAACGUGCCCGAUCGUGGGGGAUAACGAGGCGAAAGCUUUGCUAAUACCGCAUACGAUCUACGGAUGAAAGCAGGGGACCGCAAGGCCUUGCGCGGACGGAGCGGCCGAUGGCAGAUUAGGUAGUUGGUGGGAUAAAAGCUUACCAAGCCGACGAUCUGUAGCUGGUCUGAGAGGAUGAUCAGCCACACUGGGACUGAGACACGGCCCAGACUCCUACGGGAGGCAGCAGUGGGGAAUUUUGGACAAUGGGCGCAAGCCUGAUCCAGCCAUGCCGCGUGCAGGAUGAAGGCCUUCGGGUUGUAAACUGCUUUUGUACGGAACGAAAAGCCUUCUUUUAAUACAGGAGGGUCAUGACGGUACCGUAAGAAUAAGCACCGGCUAACUACGUG